Long non-coding RNA from Suricata suricatta (meerkat), 544 nucleotides. RefSeq lists it as uncharacterized. The record is from RefSeq and is a predicted model, not a curated record. The transcript is spliced from 3 exons. Lineage: Eukaryota; Metazoa; Chordata; Mammalia; Carnivora; Herpestidae.
CUCUGGCUUCCCUGUGCAGCCCUGGGGGAGCCGCGGGAAGGCCCCUCAGCCCACCAGCACAUCCCCUGCGUGGCCGGCGCCCCUUACUUCUCCCCUGCGUAGUAUCUGCUGCUGAUGAUCCGAAGUGCGCCCACUUCCCAUCGCUGGUAUUUUUGAGGUGCGGGUUUUGGAGUGAAAGUGAAGAAGCCGGAAUUGGGGAUGCCCAUGCCCAAGGGGUACAGUAUCAAGAGGAGACCCCAGGGCAGGAAUGACCUUCAGCCACCCAGUCCUGAAGGAAGACCACAUCAGAUGGCCAGAGGUGGCUGAGCCCAAGAUGGACUCCAUCCCUCUGGAGCAGGAUGUGCCUGGGCAGUUUGGAGGGUGAAGACUAAGCUGGGGUGCAGAUGCUGAGGCAGGGAUCACCUGUCCGACCUGGCGUUUCCCUGCGACCCUACCAAAGAGGGCCAGUCAGGGGCUGGGACUGGACCUGAGCCACCCCAGUGACCCCAUUUCGCCUGGUGCAGGUCUGGCACUCAAGAGCACCAAUAAACAUUUAUUGACGGAA